AUAUCAAUAAGCGGAGGAAAAGAAACCAACAGGGAUUGCCUUAGUAGCGGCGAGUGAAGCGGCAAAAGCUCAAAUUUGAAAUCUGGCUCUUUCAGAGUCCGAGUUGUAAUUUGAAGAAGGUAUCUUUGGGUCUGGCUCUUGUCUAUGUUUCUUGGAACAGAACGUCACAGAGGGUGAGAAUCCCGUGCGAUGAGAUGAUCCAGGCCUAUGUAAAGUUCCUUCGAAGAGUCGAGUUGUUUGGGAAUGCAGCUCUAAGUGGGUGGUAAAUUCCAUCUAAAGCUAAAUAUUGGCGAGAGACCGAUAGCGAACAAGUACAGUGAUGGAAAGAUGAAAAGAACUUUGAAAAGAGAGUGAAAAAGUACGUGAAAUUGUUGAAAGGGAAGGGCUUGAGAUCAGACUUGGUAUUUUGUAUGUUACUUCUUCGGGGGUGGCCUCUACAGUUUAUCGGGCCAGCAUCAGUUUGGGCGGUAGGAGAAUUGCGUUGGAAUGUGGCACGGCUUCGGUUGUGUGUUAUAGCCUUCGUCGAUACUGCCAGCCUAGACUGAGGACUGCGGUUUAUACCUAGGAUGUUGGCAUAAUGAUCUUAAGUCGC
Molecule: ribosomal RNA, 592 nt
Filed under: Candida tropicalis
Lineage: Eukaryota; Fungi; Ascomycota; Pichiomycetes; Serinales; Debaryomycetaceae
Description: eukaryotic LSU rRNA
Rfam family: Eukaryotic large subunit ribosomal RNA
Source: RNAcentral